This 424-nucleotide transfer-messenger RNA is filed under the name Holosporales bacterium. It matches the Rfam family "Alphaproteobacteria transfer-messenger RNA". Rfam says of the family: Bacterial tmRNA, also known as 10Sa RNA or SsrA, is named for its dual tRNA and mRNA-like properties. The record is from RNAcentral. Lineage: Bacteria; Pseudomonadati; Pseudomonadota; Alphaproteobacteria; Holosporales.
ACUGUUGAAUUAUUAUUUUGGAUGUGGUAGCAUCGGGGUGUUACGUUGUAACUAUAGUGAUAAACGGUUUACGCAAUAGGUUUUAUGGACCAGGGGGCGGUACCCUGCGCCUCCACCAUAUUUUUAUGGGGGCGAAACAGGUUCGACAUGUUACAGUAAAGGUAGAUCUUUCGCUCGGCAUUGUACCACCGUUAUCGGGCUAAUUUUAUAAAUGCCGAUUUUAGAAGAAUAGGCAAUAGACUCGUAGCAAACCGCAGCAGGAGAAGGCUUCUAAAGGCCGCGAACCUGUCAAGGCGUGCUGUUGGUAUGAGGGUUGCUUAAUCUUCCCGUAAUGGGAAUUUGAGAUCCUUCAUACUUACUGUCUUUUACUGGGCAGUAGAGUUGGCGGUUCUUGGGGGAAACCGAGCAACAGAAUUCCCCCUCU